CGGCCGCGGGAGCGCAGUGCCAGCGCCGCCCGGCCCCACCGAGAGGGGCGCACUCGCCGCUGCGGGGCUCGCACCGCUCACCGCAGCCCCCUCCCGCCGACCCGCAAGUCCUCUCAAACCCUGAAUAAGUAAGUGGUCUGUGCCUGUUCCAAGGGCAGAGUGGAAAGUGGCAGUGGUCCUGUCCAGUGGACAUACUGCUUCCCUACUUGGACUCUCCAGGAUUCCAUCACAGAUUGCUGCAAUGUCUGUAUCUAAUCUAUCAUGGUUGAAGAAAAAGUCCCAGUCAGUGGAUAUUACUGCUCCAGGGUUCAACCCUUUGGGUGGUGCAGGGAAGCAAGCACCACAAGCCAGCAAGCCCCCAGCACCCAAGACUCCCAUCAUAGAAGAAGAACAGAACAACUCGGCAAACACCCAGAAGCAUCCUUCCAGGAAAAGUGAGCUGAAGAGGUUCUAUACCAUUGGUGAGUGC
This 469-nucleotide long non-coding RNA is filed under the name Rattus norvegicus (Norway rat). RNAcentral's name for it is "long non-coding RNA NONRATT025931". The record is from RNAcentral. Lineage: Eukaryota; Metazoa; Chordata; Mammalia; Rodentia; Muridae.